ACAGAGGGUGCGAGCGUUGUCCGGAAUCACUGGGCGUAAAGGGCGCGUAGGCGGUCUGGUAAGCGUGUGGUGAAAGCCCGGGGCUCAACCCCGGGUCGGCCAUGCGAACUGCUGGACUGGAGCAGAUCAGAGGCAGGCGGAAUUCCGGGUGUAGCGGUGGAAUGCGUAGAGAUCCGGAAGAACACCGGUGGCGAAGGCGGCCUGCUGGGAUCUUGCUGACGCUGAGGCGCGACAGCGUGGGGAGCAAACAGGA
RNAcentral lists this ribosomal RNA (253 nucleotides) under uncultured prokaryote. RNAcentral's name for it is "partial 16S ribosomal RNA". It matches the Rfam family "Bacterial small subunit ribosomal RNA", at positions 525 to 777 of the family's 1533-position model. The record is from RNAcentral.